CAGUAGCCGCGGUAAUACGAAGGGGGCUAGCGUUGCUCGGAAUGACUGGGCGUAAAGGGCGCGUAGGCGGCGAUCAAAGUCAGGCGUGAAAUUCCUGGGCUCAACCUGGGGGCUGCGCUUGAUACUUGGUUGCCUGAGUGGGAAAGAGGAUCGUGGAAUUCCCAGUGUAGAGGUGAAAUUCGUAGAUAUUGGGAAGAACACCGGUGGCGAAGGCGGCGACCUGGUCCUUGACUGACGCUGAGGUGCGAAAGCGUGGGGAGCAAACAGGAUUAGAUAUCCGCGUAGUCCCUGUCUCUUAUAC
Molecule: ribosomal RNA, 301 nt
Filed under: uncultured bacterium
Lineage: Bacteria
Description: partial 16S ribosomal RNA
Rfam family: Bacterial small subunit ribosomal RNA
Source: RNAcentral